RNAcentral lists this transfer RNA (86 nucleotides) under Acidobacteriota bacterium. Its description in RNAcentral is "Acidobacteria bacterium tRNA-Ser". It matches the Rfam family "tRNA". Rfam says of the family: Transfer RNA (tRNA) molecules are approximately 80 nucleotides in length. RNAcentral also lists the same sequence under 1 other name. Lineage: Bacteria; Pseudomonadati; Acidobacteriota. The record is from RNAcentral.
GGAGGGAUGGCCGAGUGGUUUAAGGCGGCGGUCUUGAAAACCGUUGGGGGAAACCCCCGCAGGUUCGAAUCCUGCUCCCUCCGCCA